GGGGAAUCUUCCGCAAUGGACGAAAGUCUGACGGAGCAACGCCGCGUGAGUGAUGACGGCCUUCGGGUUGUAAAGCUCUGUUAAUCGGGACGAAAGGUCUUCUUGCGAAUAGUUAGAAGAAUUGACGGUACCGGAAUAGAAAGCCACGGCUAACUACGUGCCAGCAGCCGCGGUAAUACGUAGGUGGCAAGCGUUGUCCGGAAUUAUUGGGCGUAAAGCGCGCGCAGGCGGAUUGGUCAGUCUGUCUUAAAAGUUCGGGGCUUAACCCCGUGAUGGGAUGGAAACUGCCAAUCUAGAGUAUCGGAGAGGAAAGUGGAAUUCCUAGUGUAGCGGUGAAAUGCGUAGAUAUUAGGAAGAACACCAGUGGCGAAGGCGACUUUCUGGACGAAAACUGACGCUGAGGCGCGAAAGCCAGGGGAGCGAACGGGAUUAGAUACCCCGGUAGUCCUGGCCGUAAACGAUGGGUACUAGGUGUAGGAGGUAUCGACCCCUUCUGUGCCGGAGUUAACGCAAUAAGUACCCCGCCUGGGGAGUACGACCGCAAGGUUG
RNAcentral lists this ribosomal RNA (549 nucleotides) under uncultured bacterium. Its description in RNAcentral is "bacterial SSU rRNA". It matches the Rfam family "Bacterial small subunit ribosomal RNA", at positions 356 to 896 of the family's 1533-position model. The record is from RNAcentral.